GAGUGAACGGGGAAAAGCUCAAAUUUUAAAUCUGGCUAGGUUUUACUUAUCGGAAUUGUAAUUUGAAGAAGCGUUUUCGCGUCUCGGUUGGCCCAAAUCCUUUGGGAUAAGGUAUCAUGGAGGGUGAGAAUCCCGUUCGGUUGACCUUAUGACGCUCCACGAUACGCUCUCUAAGAGUCGAGUUGUUUGGGACUGCAGCUCAAAAUGGGAGGUAAAUUUCUCCUAAGGCUAAAUAUUGGCGGGAGACCGAUAGCGAACAAGUACCGUGAGGGAAAGAUGAAAAGAACUUUGAAAAGAGAGUUAAACAGUACGUGAAAUUGUUGAAAGGGAAACGAUUGAAGUCAGUCGUACCAACGGGAAAUCAAUUCAUCGAGUGUUAAAUUUGGGUUUCGAAGAGUUGUUAAAACCUUCGGGUUUCAGAUAUUUUCACUUUUUGAACGUAUUUUCUCGUACGGUAGGUUAACAUCGAUUUUGAACAUUAUAAAAUGAUCGGAGGAAUGUAGCUUCGAUCUCGUAUCGAAGUGUUAUAGCCUUUGGUAGAUGUAAUGAUCGAGAUCGAGGAUUGCAACGAAUACCCUUUUGGGCUAUCCGUCUGGUCUCUGAUACGUUGCCUCAGUAACGAAAGCGUGCUUACGGUAUUGAGGUAUAACGGUCAAAAGGUUAGAACGUGAUUACAUUCGUUA
RNAcentral lists this ribosomal RNA (683 nucleotides) under uncultured Glomeromycotina. Its description in RNAcentral is "eukaryotic LSU rRNA". It matches the Rfam family "Eukaryotic large subunit ribosomal RNA", at positions 91 to 649 of the family's 3401-position model. The record is from RNAcentral. Lineage: Eukaryota; Fungi; Glomeromycota.